AACUUUCAACAAUGGAUCUCUAGGUUCUCGCAUCGAUGAAGAACGUAGCAAAUUGCGAUAACUAGUGUGAAUUGCAUUUUCAGUGAAUCAUCGAGUCUUUGAACGCAUCUUGCACUCUAGGGUAUUCUCUAGAGUACGCCUGUUUCAGUGACAG
RNAcentral lists this ribosomal RNA (154 nucleotides) under Backusella indica. RNAcentral's name for it is "5.8S ribosomal RNA". It matches the Rfam family "5.8S ribosomal RNA". From Rfam's summary of the family: 5.8S ribosomal RNA (5.8S rRNA) is a component of the large subunit of the eukaryotic ribosome. It is transcribed by RNA polymerase I as part of the 45S precursor that also contains 18S and 28S rRNA. The record is from RNAcentral. Lineage: Eukaryota; Fungi; Mucoromycota; Mucoromycetes; Mucorales; Backusellaceae.